Molecule: long non-coding RNA, 438 nt
Filed under: Dasypus novemcinctus (nine-banded armadillo)
Lineage: Eukaryota; Metazoa; Chordata; Mammalia; Cingulata; Dasypodidae
Description: lncRNA (ENSDNOG00000051777.1)
Source: RNAcentral
GCUGCUUUCCACAGGCAUUUCCCAGAAGUCCCGGGUGGGAAAGAGCGGAGAAGGGAUGGAGCCCCAAGCGGAUCUGGGAGCGCCUUGGCACGACCCCCAGUCUCCUGCAAGGACACAGCCCCGGAGAGCACAGCCCCAGAGAGCACGGAGCUGUCUGGACGCCAGGCCUUGCGAGAGCGCCUCCACUUCAGCCACCAUAAGCAACCCAGCUAACCCUGAACUCAAUGCCCCGGGAGCGGGGGAGUGGGUCAGUCACGCGCCUGGAGAAGGAACCCACGAGUUGUCCUCCUCCCCGCCCCCCCACCAGCGAUAGUGCCGGGACCGGGGCGGCCCUUACACAUCCUGCCCCAAGCCACAGAACGCACUUCGGGGAGCGUGUCGGCUGCCAAGGAAACAAAGGCGGUGCGGGGUAGCAGGGUUCCCAAAUGGACUCAGCAC